CGGGUACUGCCUCGUACGAGCCUUCGGAAAAUCCCUGAGGCUAUUCAUUCCUAAUGGGAGCUGUCCCUGCCCGGACCCUGGUCCGGAUCAUACGGCGCCCACCUGACGUUUUGGCGUCAGAGGAUUUUAGGGCAAACGGCCAAUGGUGGUCCCGUC
This 156-nucleotide non-coding RNA is filed under the name Sphingomonas lutea. RNAcentral describes it as "Sphingomonas sp. JS5(2011) 6S / SsrS RNA". It matches the Rfam family "6S / SsrS RNA". From Rfam's summary of the family: E. coli 6S RNA was the first non coding RNA to be sequenced, but its function was unknown until recently. It consists of 184 nucleotides that fold into an extended hairpin structure with a large single-stranded internal bulge. The 6S RNA specifically associates with RNA polymerase holoenzyme containing the sigma70 specificity factor. Lineage: Bacteria; Pseudomonadati; Pseudomonadota; Alphaproteobacteria; Sphingomonadales; Sphingomonadaceae. The record is from Rfam by way of RNAcentral.